GGCUGCAACCAUACCAGCACUAAUGCACCGUAUCCUAUAAGAACUCUGCAGUUAAGCGUGCUUGGGUGAGAGUAGGCCUACGAUUAGUGACCACCUAGGAAGUCCUCCUGUUGCACCCC
Molecule: non-coding RNA, 119 nt
Organism: Beta vulgaris subsp. vulgaris (sugar beet)
Lineage: Eukaryota; Viridiplantae; Streptophyta; Magnoliopsida; Caryophyllales; Amaranthaceae
Source: Rfam